This 580-nucleotide long non-coding RNA is filed under the name Phoenix dactylifera (date palm). Its description in RNAcentral is "long non-coding RNA (PDAC_LNC021306)". The record is from RNAcentral. Lineage: Eukaryota; Viridiplantae; Streptophyta; Magnoliopsida; Arecales; Arecaceae.
GGUCCUCACCUAACAGUUAUUGGUGCCCAACCCCACCUUUACCCUACAACAUCUCAUGUCUAUAGAGAGGUCCAGCCCCCCGAUGCAACUUGACCACUAUGUCCAGCCGAGACAAAUCAACAUCAGAAAGGCCUUAGCAGCUCUACUACAGUGGAAGACCUAUUGACUUAAUAUUGGUUAAUCAGGUCUUAGUGUUUGCAACUUGAGCUCUUCAUAAGAGGUAAUCGAACAAUUGGUCAGGUAAGCAGGUGGGAGGCUCCCCUUACUCAGAGAGUGAGGUCCUAAUUAAGUAACCACCUUUCAUGCUUUCCUAGACACCAAUUAGAUCAAUUAAUCUAAUAUGACUUGCUCAUGUCGGUUCACCCUCGACUUGAUUGAGGAGGUUUUGAUUUAGGUCUCAAUUGGGUUUGCUACAUCACAUGUAAACCUAUCUAUCCGACUCGCAUUCACAUCACAUGCAAACGGCACAUCACAGGCAGUUAUAAUCGCAGCAUCAAAUAAAGCUAAAUUUUAAAUAGGUGAUGAUCAUGGAUUCUAGUUAGGUCGUAUUACAAGCACAUGCACGUCAAUCGAUCAACUG